RNAcentral lists this transfer RNA (50 nucleotides) under Sus scrofa (pig). Its description in RNAcentral is "tRNA-Thr". The record is from RNAcentral. Lineage: Eukaryota; Metazoa; Chordata; Mammalia; Artiodactyla; Suidae.
AUACCCUGGUCUUGUAAACCAGAAAAGGAGGACCACCCCUCCCCAAGACU